AUGCUUAACACAUGCAAGUCGAGGGGCAUCAGGAAGAAAGCUUGCUUUCUUUGCUGGCGACCGGCGCACGGGUGAGUAACACGUAUCCAACCUGCCCUUUACUCGGGGAUAGCCUUUCGAAAGAAAGAUUAAUACCCGAUGGCAUAAUGAUUCCGCAUGGUUUCAUUAUUAAAGGAUUCCGGUAAAGGAUGGGGAUGCGUUCCAUUAGGUUGUUGGUGAGGUAACGGCUCACCAAGCCUUCGAUGGAUAGGGGUUCUGAGAGGAAGGUCCCCCACAUUGGAACUGAGACACGGUCCAAACUCCUACGGGAGGCAGCAGUGAGGAAUAUUGGUCAAUGGGCGCUAGCCUGAACCAGCCAAGUAGCGUGAAGGAUGAAGGCUCUAUGGGUCGUAAACUUCUUUUAUAUAAGAAUAAAGUGCAGUAUGUAUACUGUUUUGUAUGUAUUAUAUGAAUAAGGAUCGGCUAACUCCGUGCCAGCAGCCGCGGUAAUACGGAGGAUCCGAGCGUUAUCCGGAUUUAUUGGGUUUAAAGGGAGCGUAGGUGGACUGGUAAGUCAGUUGUGAAAGUUUGCGGCUCAACCGUAAAAUUGCAGUUGAUACUGUCAGUCUUGAGUACAGUAGAGGUGGGCGGAAUUCGUGGUGUAGCGGUGAAAUGCUUAGAUAUCACGAAGAACUCCGAUUGCGAAGGCAGCUCACUGGACUGCAACUGACACUGAUGCUCGAAAGUGUGGGUAUCAAACAGGAUUAGAUACCCUGGUAGUCCACACAGUAAACGAUGAAUACUCGCUGUUUGCGAUAUACAGUAAGCGGCCAAGCGAAAGCAUUAAGUAUUCCACCUGGGGAGUACGCCGGCAACGGUGAAACUCAAAGGAAUUGACGGGGGCCCGCACAAGCGGAGGAACAUGUGGUUUAAUUCGAUGAUACGCGAGGAACCUUACCCGGGCUUAAAUUGCAGUGGAAUGAUGUGGAAACAUGUCAGUGAGCAAUCACCGCUGUGAAGGUGCUGCAUGGUUGUCGUCAGCUCGUGCCGUGAGGUGUCGGCUUAAGUGCCAUAACGAGCGCAACCCUUAUCUUCAGUUACUAACAGGUCAUGCUGAGGACUCUGGAGAGACUGCCGUCGUAAGAUGUGAGGAAGGUGGGGAUGACGUCAAAUCAGCACGGCCCUUACGUCCGGGGCUACACACGUGUUACAAUGGGGGGUACAGAAGGCAGCUAGCGGGUGACCGUAUGCUAAUCCCAAAAUCCUCUCUCAGUUCGGAUCGAAGUCUGCAACCCGACUUCGUGAAGCUGGAUUCGCUAGUAAUCGCGCAUCAGCCACGGCGCGGUGAAUACGUUCCCGGGCCUUAUACACACCGCCCGUCAAGCCAUGGGAGCCGGGGGUACCUGAAGUACGUAAAAGCAAGGAUCGUCCUAGGGUAAAACUGGUGACUGGGGC
RNAcentral lists this ribosomal RNA (1434 nucleotides) under uncultured organism. RNAcentral's name for it is "SSU rRNA". It matches the Rfam family "Bacterial small subunit ribosomal RNA". The record is from RNAcentral.